AAUAAAGUUGGGUGAACUCUAGUCUUCCUGCUGUCGGUAACUGAAAAAAUAGCGCGUAAACUCAAAUUUUUUCCAUCUCUCCCCAAAGAGAGACAAUAAAUGAGUUUUUUUUUUGCUAUUUGGAAUAUAUUAUCAGCUUAUCGCGUCAAUGUCUCAAUAACAAUACAUAUUAACUAAAUUAUCUUAUCGUAGAGAGUAAAUAGAUUCUUUGAUACCCCCUUCACUUCUUAUUAAUUUACGCGGUUAUUAUUUUACUCUAUAUUUAGGAUGUCACAACGGAAAGGUGGUUGCUUCACCUCUCUGUUUCUUCAAAACACCGCAAAUAUGUGAUAAUCUUAAAACUAGUUUUCUUCACUGACUGCCAUCUUACACAUAAGUGUUACUAUUUACAUUAAAAUGCAAUAAUUCAAAAAUAUAAUUAGUAUAAAAUUAAGAAGUUGAUAUAGGGUCAGAGGUAACCGAUUAAGACGAUCAAUUUAAUUUCAUUUCUGUGAUAGUAUUGUAAGUAAAGUAAGUUUUAUACAACUACAACUGUGCAGUGAAUCUCAUGAGUUUCGUAAGCAAAUAAAUAAAUAAAUAAAUAAAUAAAUGAUAAUAAUAUAAUAGAGAUAAUAACUGAAGGCUUUUCAUUUGUCACUUUCUCUGUCACUGAUCAAGUAAUGGAGACUGUGUACUUGGAGUCUUCUUGGAAAAAUAGAAUGCAGUUUUUAAAACGCCGAGUUGUUUAUUUGUUUAGAGAAGUAACGAAUAGAUAUAGGAAAAAAAAAGGAUACACUAGAUUUCUCACCGACGAAGAAAAAAGGUGGUUAGCAAAUGCCGAAUACGAUAUAUCGACUAGAACCAGCAUACCAUACAGUUGUUGACGUAAUUGAAUUAAUAAAUCAUUGUUAUAUAGUUAUAAAUAAAAAUUAAAAUUUAAUAUAUUGUAUCAGGUGUAAUUUUUUUAUUUGUGUUCUCAAUUAGCAUUCAGUACAUCGAUGUUUGUUUUACAACUUUAAAACUUUAAAUAAUUAAAUUUAUCUUUUUCUCUGUUAACAGAAGGUACUCUCGUGUGGUGUUAGUCGGUGUA
This is a long non-coding RNA of Cotesia glomerata, 1069 nucleotides long. RefSeq lists it as uncharacterized. NCBI's taxonomy places the organism in Eukaryota, Metazoa, Arthropoda, Insecta, Hymenoptera, Braconidae. The transcript is spliced from 2 exons. The record is from RefSeq and is a predicted model, not a curated record.